AAAGUCGUAACAAGGUCUCCGUUGGUGAACCAGCGGAGGGAUCAUUACCGAGUUGAGAGACUCCCGCACCAUCGCGAACGCUACCCCUAAACGUUGCCUCGGCGGGCGCGCCCCGCCGGCGGCACCCCCCAGAACCCUGACCUCGCGCCGCCGGGCCUCUCUGAGUGAGCUGUAUCAAAUCAGUCAAAACUUUCAACAACGGAUCUCUUGGUUCUG
This 216-nucleotide unclassified non-coding RNA is filed under the name Ascomycota sp. RNAcentral's name for it is "partial contains small subunit ribosomal RNA, internal transcribed spacer 1, and 5.8S ribosomal RNA". The stretch from base 1 to 47 matches the Rfam family "Eukaryotic small subunit ribosomal RNA", at positions 1785 to 1831 of the family's 1831-position model. The record is from RNAcentral. Lineage: Eukaryota; Fungi; Ascomycota.